Molecule: ribosomal RNA, 253 nt
Filed under: uncultured bacterium
Lineage: Bacteria
Description: partial 16S ribosomal RNA
Rfam family: Bacterial small subunit ribosomal RNA
Source: RNAcentral
GACGUAGGGCGCGAGCGUUGUCCGGAAUUAUUGGGCGUAAAGAGCUCGUAGGCGGUUCGUCGCGUCGGCUGUGAAAUCCCGAGGCUCAACCUCGGGUCUGCAGUCGAUACGGGCGGACUGGAGUUCGGCAGGGGAGACUGGAAUUCCUGGUGUAGCGGUGAAAUGCGUAGAUAUCUGGAGGAACACCGGUGGCGAAGGCGGCAUCCUGGACCAACACUGACGCUGAGGAGCGAAAGCCAGGGGAGCAAACGGG